GACGAACGCUGGCGGCGUGCCUAAUACAUGCAAGUCGAACGCUGAAGGAGGAGCUUGCUCGUCUGGAUGAGUUGCGAACGGGUGAGUAACGCGUAGGUAACCUGCCUGGUAGCGGGGGAUAACUAUUGGAAACGAUAGCUAAUACCGCAUAAGAGUAGAUGUUGCAUGACAUUUGCUUAAAAGGUGCAAUUGCAUCACUACCAGAUGGACCUGCGUUGUAUUAGCUAGUUGGUGGGGUAACGGCUCACCAAGGCGACGAUACAUAGCCGACCUGAGAGGGGGAGCGGCCGCACUGGGACUGAGACACGGCCCAGACUCCUACGGGAGGCAGCAGUAGGGAGUCUUCGGCGAUGGACGGAAGUCUGACCGAGCAACGCCGCGUGAGUGAGGAAUGUUGUCGGAUCGUAAAGCUCUGUUGUAAGAGAAGAACGAGUGUGAGAGUGGAAAGUUCACACGGUGACGGUAGCUGACCAGAAAGGGACGGCUAACUACGUG
This 495-nucleotide ribosomal RNA is filed under the name uncultured bacterium. RNAcentral's name for it is "partial 16S ribosomal RNA". It matches the Rfam family "Bacterial small subunit ribosomal RNA", at positions 28 to 507 of the family's 1533-position model. The record is from RNAcentral.